RNAcentral lists this ribosomal RNA (253 nucleotides) under uncultured bacterium. Its description in RNAcentral is "partial 16S ribosomal RNA". It matches the Rfam family "Bacterial small subunit ribosomal RNA", at positions 524 to 776 of the family's 1533-position model. The record is from RNAcentral.
UACGGGGGGGGCAAGCGUUGUUCGGAAUUACUGGGCGUAAAGGGCGCGUAGGCGGUUGGAUAAGUCAGCUGUGAAAACCACGGGCUUAACUCGUGGCCUGCAGUUGAGACUGUCUGGCUUGAGUGUGGGAGAGGAGAGUGGAAUUCCUGGUGUAGCGGUGAAAUGCGUAGAUAUCGGAAGGAACAUCAGUGGCGAAGGCGACUUCCUGGACCAAUACUGACGCUCAGGUGCGAAAGCGUGGGGAGCAAACAGG